UUUAAUGAGAGUUUGAUCCUGGCUCAGGAUUAACGCUGGCGGCGUGCAUAACACAUGCAAGUCGAACGAUGAAACUUAAAUGAACUCUUCGGGG
Anaerococcus lactolyticus ATCC 51172 is the source of this 94-nucleotide ribosomal RNA. It matches the Rfam family "Bacterial small subunit ribosomal RNA", at positions 1 to 98 of the family's 1533-position model. NCBI's taxonomy places the organism in Bacteria, Bacillati, Bacillota, Tissierellia, Tissierellales, Peptoniphilaceae. The record is from Rfam.